RNAcentral lists this ribosomal RNA (560 nucleotides) under uncultured bacterium. RNAcentral's name for it is "bacterial SSU rRNA". It matches the Rfam family "Bacterial small subunit ribosomal RNA", at positions 224 to 801 of the family's 1533-position model. The record is from RNAcentral.
GAUGAGCCCGCGUUGGAUUAGCUAGUUGGUGGGGUAAAGGCCUACCAAGGCGACGAUCCAUAGCUGGUCUGAGAGGAUGAUCAGCCACAUUGGGACUGAGACACGGCCCAAACUCCUACGGGAGGCAGCAGUGGGGAAUAUUGGACAAUGGGCGCAAGCCUGAUCCAGCCAUGCCGCGUGAGUGAUGAAGGCCUUAGGGUUGUAAAGCUCUUUCACCGGAGAAGAUAAUGACGGUAUCCGGAGAAGAAGCCCCGGCUAACUUCGUGCCAGCAGCCGCGGUAAUACGAAGGGGGCUAGCGUUGUUCGGAAUUACUGGGCGUAAAGCGCACGUAGGCGGAUAUUUAAGUCAGGGGUGAAAUCCCAGAGCUCAACUCUGGAACUGCCUUUGAUACUGGGUAUCUUGAGUAUGGAAGAGGUAAGUGGAAUUGCGAGUGUAGAGGUGAAAUUCGUAGAUAUUCGCAGGAACACCAGUGGCGAAGGCGGCUUACUGGUCCAUUACUGACGCUGAGGAGCGAAAGCGUGGGGAGCAAACAGGAUUAGAUACCCUGGUAGUCCACGCC